UACGUAGGGGGCAAGCGUUGUCCGGAAUUAUUGGGCGUAAAGAGCUCGUAGGCGGCUUAGUAAGUCGGCUGUGAAAUACCGGGGCUCAACCCCGGAACUGCAGUCGAUACUGCUGUGGCUAGAGUCUGGUAGAGGAGAAUGGAAUUCCCGGUGUAGCGGUGGAAUGCGCAGAUAUCGGGAGGAACACCAGUAGCGAAGGCGGUUCUCUGGGCCAGUACUGACGCUGAGGAGCGAAAGCGUGGGUAGCAAACAGG
Molecule: ribosomal RNA, 254 nt
Filed under: uncultured bacterium
Lineage: Bacteria
Description: partial 16S ribosomal RNA
Rfam family: Bacterial small subunit ribosomal RNA
Source: RNAcentral